GAUCAUGGCUCAGGAUGAACGCUGGCGGCGUGCCUAACACAUUCAAGUCGAACGGAGCCAUCGGAUUAAUCCUUCGGGAAGCGUCUGAGAAGCUUAGUGGCGGACGUGUGAGUAACGCGUGAGCAACCUGCCCUUGCAACCGGGGUAACAGUUGGAAACGACUGCUAAUACGGGAUGACGUACACGGGUCGCAUGGCCUGUGUACCAAAGAUGCGUCGUGCAAAGAUGGGCUCGCG
RNAcentral lists this ribosomal RNA (236 nucleotides) under uncultured bacterium. RNAcentral's name for it is "partial 16S ribosomal RNA". It matches the Rfam family "Bacterial small subunit ribosomal RNA", at positions 15 to 235 of the family's 1533-position model. The record is from RNAcentral.